GUGCUGGAGAGUGAGGGACAGUGAGUCCAGCAGACAGGCGAGAGAAGGGGAGAGGAAAGAAUGUGUUGAGCAUGACAAGAGGGCAGUGGGUUGAAAGGACUGCAGGGAAUGUUCCCUGA
Molecule: long non-coding RNA, 119 nt
Filed under: Saimiri boliviensis boliviensis (Bolivian squirrel monkey)
Lineage: Eukaryota; Metazoa; Chordata; Mammalia; Primates; Cebidae
Description: lncRNA (ENSSBOG00000036689.1)
Source: RNAcentral